CCUACGGGAGGCAGCAGUGGGGAAUAUUGCACAAUGGGGGGAACCCUGAUGCAGCGACGCCGCGUGAGUGAAGAAGUAUUUCGGUAUGUAAAGCUCUAUCAGCAGGGAAGAAAAUGACGGUACCUGACUAAGAAGCCCCGGCUAACUACGUGCCAGCAGCCGCGGUACUACGUAGGGGGCAAGCGUUAUCCGGAUUUACUGGGUGUAAAGGGAGCGCAGACGGCUGUGCAAGUCUGGAGUGAAAGGCGGGGGCCCAACCCCCGGACUGCUCGGGAAACUGUAAAGCUGGAGUGCAGGAGAGGUAAGCGGAAUUCCUAGUGUAGCGGUGAAAUGCGUAGAUAUUAGGAGGAACACCAGUGGCGAAGGCGGCUUACUGGACUGCAACUGACGUUGAGGCUCGAAAGCGUGGGGAGCAAACAGGAUUAGAUACCCGGGUAGUC
This 440-nucleotide ribosomal RNA is filed under the name uncultured bacterium. Its description in RNAcentral is "partial 16S ribosomal RNA". It matches the Rfam family "Bacterial small subunit ribosomal RNA", at positions 338 to 795 of the family's 1533-position model. The record is from RNAcentral.